CGUAGGUGGCAAGCGUUGUCCGGAAUUAUUGGGCGUAAAGCGCGCGCAGGUGGGAUAUUAAGUCUGGUGUUAAAGUUCGGGGCUCAACCCCGUGAAGCAUUUGGAAACUGAUAUUCUUGAGUGCAGGAGAGGAAAGUGGAAUUCCUAGUGUAGCGGUGAAAUGCGUAGAUAUUAGGAGGAACACCAGUGGCGAAGGCGACUUUCUGGACUGUGUCUGACACUGAGGCGCGAAAGCUAGGGUAGUGAACAGGAUUAGAUACCCUGGUAAUCCUAGCUGUAAACGAUGGGUACUAGGUGUUGGGGGUAUCGACCCCUCCAGUGCCGGAGUUAACGCAAUAAGUACCCCGCCUGGGGAGUACGGCCGCAAGGUUG
RNAcentral lists this ribosomal RNA (372 nucleotides) under uncultured organism. Its description in RNAcentral is "bacterial SSU rRNA". It matches the Rfam family "Bacterial small subunit ribosomal RNA", at positions 526 to 896 of the family's 1533-position model. The record is from RNAcentral.